This 492-nucleotide ribosomal RNA is filed under the name uncultured bacterium. Its description in RNAcentral is "partial 16S ribosomal RNA". It matches the Rfam family "Bacterial small subunit ribosomal RNA", at positions 29 to 507 of the family's 1533-position model. The record is from RNAcentral.
AGUGAACGCUGGCGGUAGGCCUAACACAUGCAAGUCGAACGGCAGCACAGUAAGAGCUUGCUCUUACGGGUGGCGAGUGGCGGACGGGUGAGGAAUACAUCGGAAUCUACUUUUUCGUGGGGGAUAACGUAGGGAAACUUACGCUAAUACCGCAUACGACCUACGGGUGAAAGCAGGGGAUCUUCGGACCUUGCGCGAUUGAAUGAGCCGAUGUCGGAUUAGCUAGUUGGCGGGGUAAAGGCCCACCAAGGCGACGAUCCGUAGCUGGUCUGAGAGGAUGAUCAGCCACACUGGAACUGAGACGCGGUCCAGACUCCUACGGGAGGCAGCAGUGGGGAAUAUUGGGCAAUGGGCGCAAGCCUGAUCCAGCCAUACCGCGUGGGUGAAGAAGGCCUUCGGGUUGUAAAGCCCUUUUGUUGGGAAAGAAAAGCAGCAGGUUAAUACCCCACUGUUCUGACGGUACCCAAAGAAUAAGCACCGGCUAACUUCGUG